CUAGGGUAUGGAGACAUGUACCCACAGACGUGGCUGGGUAUGAUGGUGGGGGCACUUUGUGCGCUGGCUGGGGUAUUGACCAUCGCCAUGCCGGUCCCCGUCAUCGUCAAUAAC
Non-coding RNA from Xyrichtys novacula (pearly razorfish), 114 nucleotides. The record is from the annotation of a GenBank genome assembly. Lineage: Eukaryota; Metazoa; Chordata; Actinopteri; Labriformes; Labridae.